AUUGAACGCUGGCGGUAUGCUUAACACAUGCAAGUCGAACGGCAGCAUGGUCUAGCUUGCUAGACUGAUGGCGAGUGGCGGACGGGUGAGUAACGCGUAGGAAUAUGCCUUGAAGAGUGGGACAACUUGGGGAAACUCAAGCUAAUACCGCAUGUACUCGAGAGAGUAAAGCUGGGGACCUUUAGGCCUGGCGCUUUAAGAUUAGCCUGCGUCCGAUUAGCUAGUUGGUAGGGUAAAGGCCUACCAAGGCGACGAUCGGUAGCUGGUCUGAGAGGGUGAUCAGCCACACUGGAACUGAGAGACGGUCCAGAGUCCUACGGGGGGCAGCAGUGGGGAAUAUUGGACAAUGGGGGGAACCCUGAUCCAGCAAUGCCGCGUGUGUGAAGAAGGCCUGAGGGUUGUAAAGCACUUUCAGUGGGGAGGAGGUUUGGAAGGUUGAGGUACUUGACGUUACCUGCAGAAGAAGCACCGGCUAAUUUCGUGCCAGCCGCCGCGGUAA
Molecule: ribosomal RNA, 499 nt
Filed under: uncultured bacterium
Lineage: Bacteria
Description: partial 16S ribosomal RNA
Rfam family: Bacterial small subunit ribosomal RNA
Source: RNAcentral